GACGAACGCUGGCGGCGUGCUUAACACAUGCAAGUCGAACGGAAAGGCCCUGCUUGCAGGGUACUCGAGUGGUGAACGGGUGAGUAACACGUGGGUGAUCUGCCCUGCACUUCGGGAUAAGCUUGGGAAACUGGGUCUAAUACCGGAUAGGAACCAUCUUUAGUGUGGUGGUUGGAAAGUUUUUUCGGUGUAGGAUGAGCUCGCGGCCUAUCAGCUUGUUGGUGGGGUAAUGGCCUACCAAGGCGGCGACGGGUAGCCGGCCUGAGAGGGUGUACGGCCACAUUGGGACUGUGAUACGGCGCAGACUCCUACGGGAGGCAGCAGUGGGGAAUAUUGCACAAUGGGCGCAAGCCUGAUGCAGCGACGCCGCGUGUGGGAUGAAGGCCUUCGGGUUGUAAACUCCUUUCGCUAGGGACGAAGCUUUGUUGUGACGGUACCUAGAGAAGAAGCACCGGCUAACUACGUG
RNAcentral lists this ribosomal RNA (466 nucleotides) under uncultured bacterium. Its description in RNAcentral is "partial 16S ribosomal RNA". It matches the Rfam family "Bacterial small subunit ribosomal RNA", at positions 28 to 507 of the family's 1533-position model. The record is from RNAcentral.